Molecule: ribosomal RNA, 253 nt
Filed under: uncultured bacterium
Lineage: Bacteria
Description: partial 16S ribosomal RNA
Rfam family: Bacterial small subunit ribosomal RNA
Source: RNAcentral
UACGGAGGGGACUAGCGUUGUUCGGAAUUACUGGGCGUAAAGGGUGCGUAGGUGGCGCUGUAAGUCGGGUGUGAAAUUUCGGAGCUUAACUCCGAAACUGCAUUCGAUACUGCGGUGCUUGAGGACUGGAGAGGAGACUGGAAUUCAUGGUGUAGCAGUGAAAUGCGUAGAGAUCAUGAGGAAGACCAGUGGCGAAGGCGGGUCUCUGGACAGUUCCUGACACUGAGGCACGAAGGCCAGGGGAGCAAACGGG